Equus caballus (horse) is the source of this 2982-nucleotide long non-coding RNA. NCBI's taxonomy places the organism in Eukaryota, Metazoa, Chordata, Mammalia, Perissodactyla, Equidae. The record is from Ensembl.
AGAGAUCAUGGAAUUGAGGCAGGAAAUGGAAGAAAGCUGAUCAAGAGUGGAUUUUUAAGCUAGUUACUGGGGGUUCAGUCUUUCCAGGGAGCUCUGGGAGACAGUGUAAAAUAUGCCUCAUUCUCCCCACCAAGGAGCCAUGUAGAUGGGGCAGUUAGCCAUCAGAUCCCUCUUCAGCUGUGUCUGAAGGCUGCCUUGAGAGGCAUUAACUCCCUGCCCUGAACACCUGGCCAAAUGUGCGCCGGUGGGCAGAUAAUACAGCCCCAGGUGGAGCCACAGUUGUUCAUAAUAAGCAACCUUCCCUGUAGAGGUGAAGACCAAGGAGAUGGGGCAGAGCCCAGAAGCAUCUACUAGAAGAAUGUUGGGUUUACAGUGAAGGCACACGGAGGGGAUUCCUAGCUUGGGUGAUCAACAAAGACUUCAUAGAGAAGAGCUUUCUAGGCUGGAACAAUGGCACAGUGUUUGGGAGAAUGCAAUGAGGACACCAAGGCAUCAAGAGCCUAAGUCAUGUGCCUAAGGUCAAAUAGCUAGUUAGGGGCAGAGCUGAUAUUUGAACCUGGGCAGUCUGCCCCCACGGUUGGGGCUCACGUCAUUACAUCACCGUCAUUUGACUUGACAUCUCCAUGACAAUCUGCGGCUCGGCUGUAAGAUUUUAGUGAUAAUGACGCAUUGCCAAGAAGCCCUUGCAGAAAGUCAGAGAAAUCUGGGCUUAAUCUACAAAGAUGAGACUCAAGAAAAAGUCAGAAGAGAAGGCAUGGACUGCUGGGGGCAUGGACUUCUGCAAAGGCACAGAUGGAAACAAGACAGAGGGGCUGAGAGUUUUUCAUUCUCUGAAAGCUUAAUUAGGUCAUUGGUGAGGACAGAGUAUUAAAAAAAAUCCCAUCAGCUAAAGACCUGUGGGAUUUAAUUCCCUCAUUCCUGCUCCUUAGUCUUAGAAUAAAUGAAGCCUUUUUCUAGUUACAAAAAUGAUGUUGAAAAAUGAUUGAUUGUCUUAAUGAGGAAAGAGAACAGCUGCCUGAACAGCAGAUGCAACUUUUAUAAUCAUUUCCUCUUCAUUGGGUUUCUCCCUAACGACCCCGGCACUGAUGAUAGUAUUUAAGAAGGAGGGUGUGUGAUGGGCAGAGGCCUGGAAUGAUCAGGAAGCUUGGGCAAAGAGGGAAAUGGUUGGUCCAAGUCCCUCAUGAUCGGCUGCAUUUCUAACAAGCCCAAAGUCGUGGCUUUUCUUCAGGCUGGUUGAAGACGACAGAAUCAGAGUUUGGGGCAACCCAAUAUCCCAGAAUUGAAGGCCAGAAAAAGGGGCAGAAAAACCACCCACGGCUCCCACGUGUACUUAAAUCUGCUCUAGCUUCACGAAGGCCCUACCGUGAACCAUCAUGCAGAGAGGAACAUCCCCACCAGAGGACAUUUAGCAGCGAGUCUGCCAAGAAACUGAAAUGUGACAGAGCACGGAGGCUAGGAGUACGGGCUCUGGCGGCAAAGUCUGCAUUCAAAUCCUGACUCUACUACUUAGCAGCUGUGUGACCACAGACGAGUCACUUAACCUCUCUGUGCCUCACUUUCUAGCUUUGUGGCCUCAAGUAUUUCAAUGAAGAAUAUUAGAAGAGCAUCUACAAAUCCCAGACUGGUGUGUGCAAGUUCUGAGGAAUGGUGGGGCAACCCAAUGUGUUUGGGCGACCUUCAGAGACAUCUGGGACAGAGCCACAACAGGGCAAUGACUGACACCCAACUCACAGCCUGACUUCUCCAGGAUCAUGCUUAUUGUCCAGCAGAUGGUCGAUAAAUAUUUUACAAUGAAGGAGGAAAGCAAGAAACGAAGCUCUAUUUUCUCAGGAUAUCAAGGUGUUUCCUGAAAUGCCUUUGUUGAUAUUGGCAGUUGCAGGUUGGAGACAUAAUGUGUUGUUGGAGACAACAUCUUAAGGCAAAUCACUGAAAGACAGACUCCUGGCUUUGACAGAAAGCUUGAUAGAGAAUACCAACACGGCAAGGAGUCAUAGGGGUCUUUAUUGAACAGUAUCAAGUUAAAUGGGACCAACUACCAUACUGAAGACUUGGCUUUACUGAAGACAGACAGGACUACUCCAGGGAGGAGCUUACCCGGGCUCCAGAUUGGCCCCACUGGAAAAUCUGCUUUGCUCAGGAAAGAUUCUUGGCAAUUACCUGUAGCAAACUCAACUAGCAACUUGCCCAUUCUUUGGUUUGAACCAACCCUCUGGAUUUCAGCUCAAUUGAUCAAUUUGCCCUCUCUCCAAAACUUCAAUUCACUCCUAUUUACCUCUUUAUUGUCUCUCCUCUCCACUGGUCUAAAAAUUACAUGAAGAGAGAGAUUAUGUCACUUAAUUCACCACUGUAUACCUGUGCAUGACAUGGUGCCUAACACAUAGUGGAUGUGUGAUAAAUAAGGGUUGAAUGAAUGAAUGAAUCUGAAGGACCCAAAGCUCCAAUUUCCUUCCUAUGCUGUGGUAGGUCACGGUGUUCAGCCUCCCAACAUCCAGACCACUUCAGCUGAUGAGUCUAAAGUUCUAGGUGUUCUUAACCUCGGAUCCAUGGACCAAUUAAGGGUCUGUGACUGUGCAUAGAAAAAAUGCCUCUUCAUUUUCACUAACUUUUAACUGAAAUGUAGCUUUUCCUUCAAUCAUAAAUGUAGAGAAGAAACCACAGUAGUCUAUGAGCAGGACCUGUGAUUUUUGUGACCAGUAGAAUCCUUUAUGCUCAUCAACAACGUGGAAUUAUUGUAGUAAUUGUACCUGCCAUCAGAUUUUGUUGUUUAAGGUGUAAAUAAGAAGGCAGACACAGUACUAUGUCAUAAAUUUAUGGAAUGACCAAAUUAAUCUUAAUUAACCUGAAUGAAUUAUUCUUAAAUAACCUGAAUAUUGUUAUUCCAAGAAUGUCUUUUCCAAAUAACUGGAUUCCUUUGUAAUCCCAUAUAUUUUACUUUAUACGUUUAAAAACAUUCUUAGAAGGGGUCCCUAGGCUUCACCACAC